RNAcentral lists this ribosomal RNA (301 nucleotides) under uncultured bacterium. Its description in RNAcentral is "partial 16S ribosomal RNA". It matches the Rfam family "Bacterial small subunit ribosomal RNA", at positions 509 to 808 of the family's 1533-position model. The record is from RNAcentral.
CAGCAGCCGCGGGAAUACGUAGGUCCCGAGCGUUGUCCGGAUUUAUUGGGCGUAAAGCGAGCGCAGGCGGUUAGAUAAGUCUGAAGUUAAAGGCUGUGGCUUAACCAUAGUACGCUUUGGAAACUGUUUAACUUGAGUGCAAGAGGGGAGAGUGGAAUUCCAUGUGUAGCGGUGAAAUGCGUAGAUAUAUGGAGGAACACCGGUGGCGAAAGCGGCUCCCUGGCUUGUAACUGACGCUGAGGCUCGAAAGCGUGGGGAGCAAACAGGAUUAGAUACCCCCGUAGUCCCUGUCUCUUAUACA